ACGGUUAUAAAUCAACAUAUUGAUUUAUAAGCAUGGAAAUCCCCUGAGUGAAACAACGAAUUGCUGUGUGUAGUCUUUGCCCAUCUCCCACGAUGGGCUUUUUUUAAC
This 108-nucleotide non-coding RNA is filed under the name Escherichia coli. Its description in RNAcentral is "antisense sRNA RprA". It matches the Rfam family "RprA RNA". From Rfam's summary of the family: Translational regulation of the stationary phase sigma factor RpoS is mediated by the formation of a double-stranded RNA stem-loop structure in the upstream region of the rpoS messenger RNA, occluding the translation initiation site. Clones carrying rprA (RpoS regulator RNA A) increased the translation of RpoS. The record is from RNAcentral. Lineage: Bacteria; Pseudomonadati; Pseudomonadota; Gammaproteobacteria; Enterobacterales; Enterobacteriaceae. RNAcentral also lists the same sequence under 20 other names.